Molecule: ribosomal RNA, 500 nt
Filed under: uncultured bacterium
Lineage: Bacteria
Description: partial 16S ribosomal RNA
Rfam family: Bacterial small subunit ribosomal RNA
Source: RNAcentral
AUUGAACGCUGGCGGAAUGCUUUACACAUGCAAGUCGAACGGCAGCACGGACUUCGGUCUGGUGGCGAGUGGCGAACGGGUGAGUAAUGUAUCGGAACGUGCCCAGUCGUGGGGGAUAACGUAGUGAAAAUUACGCUAAUACCGCAUACGAUCUAUGGAUGAAAGCGGGGGAUCGCAAGACCUCGCGCGAUUGGAGCGGCCGAUAUCAGAUUAGGUAGUUGGUGGGGUAAAGGCGCACCAAGCCAACGAUCUGUAGCUGGUCUGAGAGGACGACCAGCCACACUGGAACUGAGACACGGUCCAGACUCCUACGGGAGGCAGCAGUGGGGAAUUUUGGACAAUGGGCGAAAGCCUGAUUCAGCCAUUCCGCGUGCAGGAUGAAGGCCCUCGGGUUGUAAACUGCUUUUGUACAGAACGAAAAGGUUUCUACUAAUACUAGGAGCUCAUGACGGUACUGUAAGAAUAAGCACCGGCUAACUACGUGCCAGCCGCCGCUGUAA